CUCAAACCAGCAUAAACUAUUCGGAGUUUUAGAUGGAAAAUUGGUCCUGUGCUUCCUCAUGAAAUACAAGGAAAGCUCAAUAGUUCAGAGAAAGAGUACUUCAGGAGCCACUCUUCAGCCAUUAAGUCAUAUAUCUCAGAAGUGCAUAUAGAUUCAACAGUGGUAUGUAUAUUUCCAGUUUCACUUGAUUUUGGGUGA
This 198-nucleotide ribosomal RNA is filed under the name Triticum aestivum (bread wheat). RNAcentral describes it as "partial small subunit ribosomal RNA". The record is from RNAcentral. Lineage: Eukaryota; Viridiplantae; Streptophyta; Magnoliopsida; Poales; Poaceae.